RNAcentral lists this unclassified non-coding RNA (454 nucleotides) under Hevea brasiliensis (rubber tree). The record is from RNAcentral. Lineage: Eukaryota; Viridiplantae; Streptophyta; Magnoliopsida; Malpighiales; Euphorbiaceae.
AUCGUCCUCCAUUUCCGUCCACAAUGCAGUACAAGAACUUAGGCAGGUCCGGCUUGAAGGUCAGCCAGUUAUCCUACGGCGCUUGGGUAAGCUUCGGCAAUCAGCUCGAUGUGCGAGAGGCCAAAUCUCUUCUUCAAUGCUGCCGUGACCAUGGCGUCAAUUUCUUCGACAACGCCGAAGUCUACGCCAAUGGCAGGGCUGAGGAGAUCAUGGGUCAGGCCAUUCGGGAGCUCGGAUGGAAGCGCUCCGAUAUAGUCGUAUCCACUAAGAUCUUUUGGGGCGGUCCUGGUCCGAACGAUAAGGGGCUUUCCAGAAAGCACAUCGUUGAAGGUACCAAGGCUUCACUGAAGCGAUUGGAUAUGGAGUAUGUUGAUGUUAUUUACUGUCACCGCCCGGAUUCGUCGACGCCGAUCGAGGAGACGGUGAGGGCGAUGAAUUAUGUGAUUGAUAAAGG